UACGGAGGGUGCGAGCGUUAAUCGGAAUUACUGGGCGUAAAGGGUGCGUAGGUGGUUUGAUAAGUUGACUGUGAAAUUCCUGGGCUUAACCUGGGGUGGUCAGUCAAGACUGUUGAACUAGAGUAUGGGAGAGGGUAGUGGAAUUUCCGGUGUAGCGGUGAAAUGCGUAGAGAUCGGAAGGAACACCAGUGGCGAAGGCGGCUACCUGGCCUAAUACUGACACUGAGGCACGAAAGCGUGGGGAGCAAACAGG
Molecule: ribosomal RNA, 253 nt
Filed under: uncultured bacterium
Lineage: Bacteria
Description: partial 16S ribosomal RNA
Rfam family: Bacterial small subunit ribosomal RNA
Source: RNAcentral